GCUCUGUAAGCAAAAGACAUGCAAUCAGUUUUGUAAACUGAUAAAAAAGGUUAAAUUCCUUACCAAAGCU
This 70-nucleotide transfer RNA is filed under the name Florometra serratissima (common feather star). RNAcentral's name for it is "tRNA-Thr". Lineage: Eukaryota; Metazoa; Echinodermata; Crinoidea; Comatulida; Antedonidae. The record is from RNAcentral.